Molecule: ribosomal RNA, 729 nt
Filed under: uncultured bacterium
Lineage: Bacteria
Description: SSU rRNA
Rfam family: Bacterial small subunit ribosomal RNA
Source: RNAcentral
GUGCCAGCCGCCGCGGUAAUACGGAGGGUCCGAGCGUUAUCCGGAAUCAUUGGGUUUAAAGGGUCCGCAGGCGGUCAAUUAAGUCAGAGGUGAAAUCCCAUAGCUUAACUAUGGAACUGCCUUUGAUACUGGUUGACUUGAGUCAUAUGGAAGUAGAUAGAAUGUGUAGUGUAGCGGUGAAAUGCAUAGAUAUUACACAGAAUACCGAUUGCGAAGGCAGUCUACUACGUAUGUACUGACGCUGAGGGACGAAAGCGUGGGGAGCGAACAGGAUUAGAUACCCUGGUAGUCCACGCCGUAAACGAUGGAUACUAGUUGUUGGGCAUUAGCUCAGUGACUAAGCGAAAGUGAUAAGUAUCCCACCUGGGGAGUACGGUCGCAAGACUGAAACUCAAAGGAAUUGACGGGGGCCCGCACAAGCGGUGGAGCAUGUGGUUUAAUUCGAUGAUACGCGAGGAACCUUACCAGGGCUUAAAUGUAGUCUGACAGCUUUAGAGAUAGAGUUUUCUUCGGACAGAUUACAAGGUGCUGCAUGGUUGUCGUCAGCUCGUGCCGUGAGGUGUCAGGUUAAGUCCUAUAACGAGCGCAACCCCUGUCAUUAGUUGCCAGCAUGUAAAGAUGGGGACUCUAAUGAGACUGCCGGUGCAAACCGCGAGGAAGGUGGGGAUGACGUCAAAUCAUCACGGCCCUUACGUCCUGGGCCACACACGUGCUACAAUGGUAUGGACA